Molecule: ribosomal RNA, 740 nt
Filed under: uncultured bacterium
Lineage: Bacteria
Description: bacterial SSU rRNA
Rfam family: Bacterial small subunit ribosomal RNA
Source: RNAcentral
UACUGCAGUCGAAGAGAAAGUCACUUCGGUGGCGAGUACAGUGGCGCACGGGUGAGUACGCGUAGAUGAUCUACCCUUCAGUCUGGGACAACUCUUGGAAACGGGAGCUAAUACCGGAUAAAACCUUCGGGUUGAAAGAUUUAUCGCUGGGGGAUGAGUCUGCGUACCAUUGGCUUGUUGGUGGGGUAACGGCCUACCAAGGCGACGAUGGUUAGCGGGUCUGAGAGGACGAUCCGCCACACUGGAACUGAGACACGGUCCAGACUCCUACGGGAGGCAGCAGUAGGGAAUAUUGCGCAAUGGGGGCAACCCUGACGCAGCAAUGCCGCGUGAGUGAAGAAGGCCUUCAGGUCGUAAAGCUCUUUUAUGGGGGAAGAUGAUGACGGUACCCCAUGAAUAAGCACCGGCUAACUACGUGCCAGCAGCCGCGGUAAUACGUAGGGUGCGAGCGUUGUUCGGAAUUACUGGGCGUACAGGGCGUGCAGGCGGAUUGGCAAGCCGGAGGUGAAAGCCCGGGGCUCAACCCGGAGGGUCUCUCGGAACUGCCAGUCUUGAGAGGGUCAGGUGCCAGCGGAAUUCCUGGUGUAGAGGUGAAAUUCGUAGAGAUCAGGAGGAACACCGGCGGCGAAAGCGGCUGGCUGGGGCCACUCUGACCUGAUGCGCGAAAACGUGUGGAGCCACACGGAUUAGAAUACCUGGUUAGUCCAGCCGCAAACGAUGGCACUAAGCGUCCGAGGGUC